GUUGUUUCUCAUGUAAUAGGAGGUGACUGGAUUCCUGUGUGGCAUCAUUAUGUAGUUGCUGAUUUUCAGCAGUAGAAACAUGCUGCUUUAGCUCCAUUGCAGAUGAGUGCUGCUCUUGCUGCUGUUGUUGCUGGCUUGCACCAUUGGCAUUUUCAUCUUGUGUAGUAGUUUGCCAAUUUGAAAAUGACUGACUAGGAGUUUGAUUGAUUUCAUGGGACAAAACUGCGGAGUCAGAC
This 236-nucleotide unclassified non-coding RNA is filed under the name Hevea brasiliensis (rubber tree). Lineage: Eukaryota; Viridiplantae; Streptophyta; Magnoliopsida; Malpighiales; Euphorbiaceae. The record is from RNAcentral.